Echinostoma caproni is the source of this 45-nucleotide non-coding RNA. The record is from Rfam. NCBI's taxonomy places the organism in Eukaryota, Metazoa, Platyhelminthes, Trematoda, Plagiorchiida, Echinostomatidae.
GCACUGCUGAUGAGACCCAGCUAGGUCGAAACAGCUGUCCAGUGC